This is an RNA transcript of Magnolia sinica, 1149 nucleotides long. It is a transcript of the gene named beta-glucosidase 12-like, with no coding region annotated. NCBI's taxonomy places the organism in Eukaryota, Viridiplantae, Streptophyta, Magnoliopsida, Magnoliales, Magnoliaceae. The record is from RefSeq and is a predicted model, not a curated record. The transcript is spliced from 3 exons.
UCUCUCUUUCUCUCUUUCUUUCUUAUUUUGUUAACUUUCAUCAAAAUUGCCUUAGUCGAUGACGUGCUGCCAUGAUUUUUAAUAUUCAUUUUGUUUUUCAUCUUUUUUUCCUGAAUGAGAUCGGCAUUCAAGCAUGCAUAAGUUUUUAGUACAAGAAAUAGAUAUAUUCUUUAGUAUUAUUUGCUGUGUGACUUGGAAGAGUAGAAACCCAUCUCAAUUCGUGACUAUAUAGUCUAUAAAAUUUAAUUUUUUGCAGGCUAUAUAGUCUAAGAUGGAUCGCAAGAGUUGGCCAUGGAAGAAGAAAUCAUCUGAGAAAACAGUGGCUGCAACAGAUUCUGCCGCUGCUUCUUUGGCUAUCUCAGCUGGAAAUCAAGGGGAUCAAACCAGGAGACUACUUUGACUCUGCUGAUUGGGAAAAGGAAAAGGUUUUAAUUAACAUUGCACCUAGUUUUCUGAGCCCAAUGAGUUGUAAAAUCCAAAAUGCCCACACUCCAUCGAUGUUGUUUCUAAUGUCCAGAUUUAGGGUUAUAACUUCUAUUAUAUGACUAUUCAUGUGCUUUUUUUUUUGCCUUUUUUUUUUUUUUUUUUGGGUAUGAACACUCUAUGGUGUUUUACUUUUAAAAUCCUUAUACCUUCCUGGUAAUGUUAUUCUAUUUGACAUUGUUAGGGUGCGGUUUUGAAUUUUAUGUCUUUAUCCUGCUUCUACAGUUGCUGUUGUUGUUCUAUUUAUCAUGCUUUCUUAUGGUGCUUUGAGUACAGAGUUUGGAAGAGAAGAUACCUAACUUUCGGGGGCACUUAAUCACAUUGAUAAAUGCAGAUAUGCCAAACAUGCUAAUUUAAGUUCUAUUUCAGUGCCCUUGUAGUUUCCUCAAUUGGCUGGAUAAAUCUGAAGGGCUUCCUUUUGGAGAUGGGCCAAAUAAAAACACAAAUUCCAUCUCAUGGAGUGGAGUGAGAUGUGCAAACUGGAAAGCAUAUGCAGGAUGGAAAUCAGAUCAGUAAAAAUUAUAAAUAUGGUGUUCCAUGGGAAAUGGUUGUAGAUGUUCGGGGUGGAGGCUGAUAGUUCUUGGGAAAAAGUUGCCAAAUAUGGUGAGAGAAUGUUGGCCGUUGGUUUUCUAAGGCUUCGUCUUAGUUUCCUCAAUUGGCUGGAAA